Molecule: RNase P RNA, 474 nt
Filed under: Treponema sp.
Lineage: Bacteria; Pseudomonadati; Spirochaetota; Spirochaetia; Treponematales; Treponemataceae
Description: RNase P RNA component class A
Rfam family: Bacterial RNase P class A
About the family: Ribonuclease P (RNase P) is a ubiquitous endoribonuclease, found in archaea, bacteria and eukarya as well as chloroplasts and mitochondria. Its best characterised activity is the generation of mature 5'-ends of tRNAs by cleaving the 5'-leader elements of precursor-tRNAs. Cellular RNase Ps are ribonucleoproteins.
Source: RNAcentral
ACGGUGAACCGUUCAGCCGCGGCGGCCCCAAGAAAGCCCUCCGCGCUUAUGCGGGGGGCAUGGGCGCCGUCCGAGGAAAGUCCGGGCUCCGCAGGGCAUGAUGCCGGGUAACGCCCGGGCGGAAGGCGCGGAUCGGGCCGGGGGCCUGCCUCCGGCGCGAUAUCCCGCCUUUCGACAGACAGCGCAACAGAAAACAAACCGCGAAGGGGGGCUCCGGCCCUCCCCGCAAGGGUGAAACGGCGGGGCAAGAGCCCGCCGCGGCGCCGGCAACGGCGCCGGCACGGCAAGCCUCAUCAGGAGCAAAAUCAAGCGGCGCAACAAAAGCCCGUCUUUUGUGCCGGCUGCCCGCCGGCCAAGCGCAGGUAGAUUGCCGGGGGUUACCCCGGAGGCCGUCCGCAAGGCCGGCCCGAGACAGAUGGCUGAAGGGUCCCUAAGGCCCCGAUAACAGAACCCGGCUUACGGUUCACCGUUUUU